This 789-nucleotide ribosomal RNA is filed under the name uncultured beta proteobacterium. RNAcentral describes it as "bacterial SSU rRNA". It matches the Rfam family "Bacterial small subunit ribosomal RNA", at positions 145 to 931 of the family's 1533-position model. Lineage: Bacteria; Pseudomonadati; Pseudomonadota; Betaproteobacteria. The record is from RNAcentral.
AACGCAGCGAAAGCUGUGCUAAUACCGCAUACGCCCUGAGGGGGAAAGCGGGGGAUCGAAAGACCUCGCGCGAUUAGAGCGGCCGAUGCCUGAUUAGCUUGUUGGUGGGGUAAAAGCCCACCAAGGCGACGAUCAGUAGCUGGUCUGAGAGGACGAUCAGCCACACUGGGACUGAGACACGGCCCAGACUCCUACGGGAGGCAGCAGUGGGGAAUUUUGGACAAUGGGGGCAACCCUGAUCCAGCAAUGCCGCGUGAGUGAAGAAGGCCUUCGGGUUGUAAAGCUCUUUUGUCAGGGAAGAAACACCGGCUCUAACACAGUCCGGGAAUGACGGUACCUGAAGAAUAAGCACCGGCUAACUACGUGCCAGCAGCCGCGGUAAUACGUAGGGUGCGAGCGUUAAUCGGAAUUACUGGGCGUAAAGCGUGCGCAGGCGGUUAUACAAGACAGGCGUGAAAUCCCCGGGCUUAACCUGGGAAUGGCGCCUGUGACUGUAUAGCUAGAGUGUGUCAGAGGGGGGUAGAAUUCCACGUGUAGCAGUGAAAUGCGUAGAUAUGUGGAGGAAUACCAAUGGCGAAGGCAGCCCCCUGGGAUAACACUGACGCUCAUGCACGAAAGCGUGGGGAGCAAACAGGAUCAGAUACCCUGGUAGUCCACGCCCUAAACGAUGCUGACUAGUUGUUCGGGAUUUACAUCCUGAGUAACGUAGCUAACGCGUGAAGUCAGCCGCCUGGGGAGUACGGUCGCAAGAUUAAAACUCAAAGGAAUUGACGGGGACCCGCACAAGCG